UCCGGUUUGGCACCGGCAGUCUCCCUAGAGUUCCCGGCUUUACCCGCUGGCAACUAGGGACAGGGGUUGCGCUCGUUGCGCCACUUAAGGCAACACCUCACGGCACGAGCUGACGACAGCCAUGCACCACCUGUGCGGGCUCCGUAGAGCGCUGGCUUUCACCAGCUUUACCCCGCAUGUCAAGCCCAGGUAAGGUUCUUCGCGUUGCAUCGAAUUAAGCCGCAUGCUCCACCGCUUGUGCGGGUCCCCGUCAAUUCCUUUAUGUUUUAGUCUUGCGACCGUACUCCACAGGCGGGAUACUUAACGCGUUAGCUUCGCUACGGAGGGGGUCGAUACCCCCCACAGCUAGUACUCAACGUUUACGGCUGGGACUAC
RNAcentral lists this unclassified non-coding RNA (375 nucleotides) under uncultured bacterium. Its description in RNAcentral is "contains 16S-23S intergenic spacer region". The record is from RNAcentral.